UCACGGCCUUUGGCAUGGAAGGGCUUCCAAAUGGAUGCUGUAGCACUGACAUUUUCAUUAGUUGACAGGGAAAUUAUUACAUUUUUAGGGAUUUGUGAAUUUAAGCAUAGAUGAUUACUUCCAAUGUUAGAGUUUUGCAAACGGGAAGCCUUGUUGCUCAGUUUACUAAUUUAUUUUGUGAUCUGUGACUAAACUGAGUAAAAAUGCAAAUAGUACAAGGCCUUUUCCAUUUUAUCUCCGGAUCAGUUUACUGAAGGGGGGAUCAGAGUCACUAAACACUCGAGCACUCUUGUGAUUCCUAAGUAGUUGGGCAUUAAAAGCAACGAAAGUGAAGACUGGGAUGAUUGCUGUGAGUCACACAGGGAGGUUUAAAUGAAACCUCGUUAUUUAUUUUAGGUUUAAAAUGAAGAGUCUCCAGCUCAGUUUUAUUGGCCAUUGUGACAACACAAACAGAUAUUUGAACCUGUUGCUUUGCUGAAGCCAACUGACUGCUGCUCUAGAAUGUGAUGCUUAAGUUAAUAAAAGAAGGAAUUGAAAAUGGAGCAGUUUGUAAUAUGAAGAAACCAAUCGCAGCAACCCUGACAUCCUUCUCUCCCACCUCCUCCACAGCUCCUGACGUUCUGGUCAUUCUGACUUCCAGGUUCUGCUGACCUAACCUUAUUUUCUACUUCCUCUGGAUCACUGAUACUCUACAAAACAAAGGAACAGGUAUAAAUAAUCUCUAGGAUGCUUCCUGUUAGUAGCUUGAUGUUACCACCACUCACCUUUCUCACUCUCUCUACAGUUAACGUUUUCCACGAAGUAAAGUGUGUUCAAACACUAGGGUUAGAUUUGCAUCUCAACUCUACCACUUAAUGGAGGUUUGCCUCUGGGAAACUUGUUACAGCAUGUUAUUACAGUAAAGGUUAUGUGAAUGAGAUAUCUCUUGCUUUCAAAACAUCAUACUGUACUACACAGUACUUUUGUACCACGGGUGACCAUGUGUAACUGAAACUGGACUACUGUAGGUUCUCAGUGAAUGGUGACUUCCUUCAACUUUAGCUUCCAUCCAUCUGUGUAUUUGAAAACCUGGAUUUAACUCCAUCUCUUCCUCGAAGCGUUCUCUGAUAAAUGCAGUCCAACUUCUGUUAC
Molecule: long non-coding RNA, 1131 nt
Filed under: Oryctolagus cuniculus (rabbit)
Lineage: Eukaryota; Metazoa; Chordata; Mammalia; Lagomorpha; Leporidae
Description: lncRNA (ENSOCUG00000037975.1)
Source: RNAcentral